Molecule: long non-coding RNA, 424 nt
Filed under: Equus caballus (horse)
Lineage: Eukaryota; Metazoa; Chordata; Mammalia; Perissodactyla; Equidae
Description: lncRNA (ENSECAG00000052633.1)
Source: RNAcentral
CUGAAGAUAAAGAUGAUGGCUAAAGUUUUUCUUCUAUCUGUCCUAUGCCUAGAGAACGGGACUUUACUGGAUCUGUUGAGUAAAUAAAUGAGUAGUCAUCUGUCAUUGGAAUACCCCACCAUUACCCAUCUACCUGAAGGUAAUGCUCUCUGCUCAUGAAAACCCUCACAUGAAGGACUCUCUAAACCACAACGGUUAGAAAUUUAGAAGAAGCUCAGCGGGGCAAUUGGUCUCUAACUCAUGUGGUGUCAGCUGCAGCAUCAAGGCUGGAAGAUCCCCUUCCACAGUGGCUUCUUCAUUCACACGUUGCAUUUUGUAAUGUGAUCCUCACAUCAUCCUUGGAAAAAACAAAGUAUGGAGAAAUCUAUGGUGUAGAAAGCCAUAAGUAAUUCACCAAAGCCUGCAGGUGCUGGACAUAUUCCCU